Molecule: long non-coding RNA, 2058 nt
Filed under: Carassius auratus (goldfish)
Lineage: Eukaryota; Metazoa; Chordata; Actinopteri; Cypriniformes; Cyprinidae
Description: lncRNA (ENSCARG00000032908.1)
Source: RNAcentral
GGAGUUUGCACAAAAGAAGGGCAUGUGAGUCGGAUGUGUGUUUGUUUCUCAUCAACACAAAACAAUAAGACUACAAUACGAAUACAAUAGAGCUAUUCUCGUUAAUGUUAAAGAUAAAACAUGUUUCAGAGGCAUGUCAGGUUUGAAUACUUAAGUACAACUGAGUAUUAAAAAGUCAGUGACUUGUGUUAUGGAGUGUAUAUGGUGGAAUUAGCAAAGAGAUGCCCAACAUGUAUUUUUCCAGCAGAGAAUCCCCAGCCACUGAGCGCCUCAGAGACGGUGAUGGGUGUCCUUGGAUGGGUGAUUGCACUGGGCAUCAUCCUCAGUAUAGCUGGCACAAUAUAUCUGGUCAAAAAACAACAGCGGCCACAAACACACAGGGUCAGACAAUGACUCAGAUAGUUCUUUUCCUGCCCACAAAAAGCCUUCUUCAUCUAAAAAGAGGGCAACUGAUGACUUCCAGGUAAGAAAGCACUCAGUAAAGCCACAGAAACACCAGUGAGGGCCAUUUUAUCAGAUGAAAAGAUGCACUAAUGUACCAUGGUAUGGCUACGACCUGAAUAGAGGAACUGAGGCUUUAAUGAUAAACCUGAAUUUCCUCUGGUCUCAUUGAUAUAGUGAGCAGAGAGUGCCUCCUUCUGGAGAAGAAAACUUCCCCCCGUUGAGUUCUAAUAGUUAAUCAUCACAGAGUAUGUUUUAGCAAUGACUCUGUAUAACUUCCUUGAACUUUGCUACUUUUGAAACAUUUAUGUAUUCUGAAUUUGAAAAAAGGUCCAAACUUGAUUGUGUCUGCACCAGCAUACGUAAUAUCAAAGUGACAGUGUCAGCCGUGUGCCUGAGUGCACUCAUUAAAUAUGCACAGCGCUCAUUCUCUCGCUCUCUCUGUCUGACCUUGUAUCUUUGUUCCCACAGAGCCCCGGGAGGUUCUACGAUGAGCUCCCAAACACGGCCGACUAUGUGAGUUACCGUUUGGCAUGUAACAAAGAGGAUUAUCUGGAGCAACACUCUCCUCCCAUUCAACCUCCCUUGACCUUCCUGCCCCAAAAUCCCUACACUCAGCACCGUAACAAGACCGCUAUAUUCACGUACCCCACACCCCCCGGCCCAGUCUCUUCAUACUCCUUCCCGAAAGAACAGUAUGUAUAAAUAUAUUUGUGACCUGUCUCUUUUUGUCUUUCUUCAAUUGCUCUGGUCAUUGUGUAGCUACUUUUCUUAAACUGUGAAUAGAUCUUUAAAAAAAUAUAUAUUAUUCUCCAAGCAUAAUUAGAUUUGCAUGCAUUUUUUAAAAUUUUUAUAAUAAUAUUAAUAUUAAUAUAAAACGUCAUUGUCUUAAAGUAGGUCAGUGGUUUAAUCAGUCUGGACACCCCAUUUAUAACAGACCCAUAUUGUGUAUUGUAUUCUGUACAAUUAUGCAUCACUCCAUUGUUUUAUGUCAUUUCUGAACAGGUCUUUUUGCUGCUUUCGUAAUAGUACAUUUGAGACAAUAAUAUUGUAGCAGUAGAAAUAUAUUUCCUAAGCUAAAUUCUUAAAUAUAAUUAAAAUAAAGAAAUAUUGUAUGUAUGAUUUGUUUUUGAUAAUAUCUACUACUGUAUUUAAUUGUGUGAAACUUGCAACAAUCACAUGAUCGGACCAAUAUUUCACAAAAUAAUCAUUAUUCACUUUUCUUUGCAUCUUUAAACUGUAUAUGCUGUAUUUAAAUGUAUGUGAGAGUGUUUUUGUUUUUUUACAUGCACACCAGCAAAUUCCAGGAAGCAUUUAUGUAGAACUGUGAUUCUCUUUGGUCAUUUGUCCUUUAUUAUUGUUUACAUUAUACUUUGUGACAAUCAUGCACUAUGGUUUAAAGUUCUUCCAUGCACUGCAGUUCUAAUCACUGCUUAAGGAGUAUUUAAAUAGUGUAUAGAGCAUGAGAAAGUGUGCAAAAAUGUGACAGAUUAUAUUUUAUGUAUUGUUGUAUUGUUACAGUUACCAUAAGGUAUUGGAAAAGCUGUUAUGAAAUAUUUGAAUAUUUUAACCACUUGGAUUUUUUUGUUUCUUUUUUUCUACUAAUAAAUACAUAAA